ACUUGAUGACUGUCAUAAAAACUUGAAUUGAGUUGAAGAUUGAGAUCAACCACAACCAAGAGUGGCUAGGCAAAGCUAUGAAAAAACAAACAGCUGCAACUAGCCAAACAGCACAGACAAUUGCUAUAGCAAUCUUAGAGACCUUUUGAUUGCCACGAUCAUAGAUUGCAAUUUGGAGCAAUGUAAUUGCUGUCAACAGAACAGCAUGCAUUGAAAAGGCAACAUCAUUUGCAGCCACAGGUAUCAUCUCUCCGUAGCCAUACUUGUCGAAAUACUGCUUCUGAAUAGCAGAGCUGAAGUAAAGAGAAGCGUUGUAAAUCAAAUAAGAGGAGUGUUUGGUCAAAUUCAACAUCACGAAAUCGAAGUUCAAACCCACCACGCUUUUCCGGCGGAAAUUCAAGAUAAUUUGAGGAUAGAAACUGAUGGACCAAGAAAAGAAGGCGAUCCAUCCAAAGGUUUCGUAUGUGAUUUCGAGUGGAAUUGAAUUCCACGACGCCAUUUCUCUCCCUCCGAGCUGGCUCCGGCGAUGUUUCUAAUAUGGCUGGGGAGAGCACUUUCGCCCGAUGACAGUCUUUUCUUA
Molecule: unclassified non-coding RNA, 580 nt
Filed under: Hevea brasiliensis (rubber tree)
Lineage: Eukaryota; Viridiplantae; Streptophyta; Magnoliopsida; Malpighiales; Euphorbiaceae
Source: RNAcentral